Molecule: long non-coding RNA, 202 nt
Filed under: Hordeum vulgare
Lineage: Eukaryota; Viridiplantae; Streptophyta; Magnoliopsida; Poales; Poaceae
Description: long non-coding RNA (HVUL_LNC004819)
Source: RNAcentral
UGAUACUGGUGUUGGACAAGAUUAUUAAGAUUUUGUUCAGCAUGACAUGCCAGACAAACUUCUUGAAGGCGGAUUUCUGUUGUAUCGUUGCGGUACUGGGAACGACAUCUAGGUGACGAUGCCAAUAUUCGUUAAGUGGGGCUUGUUCUCACAGGCCAUGAGGGACCUCGCAAGAAACCCGUCAUCCUAGUGCCCAGCUGAG